Long non-coding RNA from Anolis carolinensis (green anole), 2262 nucleotides. The record is from Ensembl. NCBI's taxonomy places the organism in Eukaryota, Metazoa, Chordata, Lepidosauria, Squamata, Anolidae.
AAUUUUGUGCCUUUCAGCCGUUGCAUUUUCUUAGUAUAGUCAAAAUGGAGACUUAAAAGAAUUAAACAUGUAUCUUCACAAAAAAUACAAAGGUACGUUAGAUAUCUAUAUUGCUUAGGAGUUUGAAUAACAGGACACUACUUAGUGUUCUGCUCAUUUGGUUUCAGAAUUUAGGGGUUAUUUUUAAAAGGAAAAAUGAUUGUUUUGAGUGCUUGGCUCUUAAAAGUCUGGCUCUGAGUUGCUAUAUAUUCAGCCAUGUUUCUAGUAGUUAAUUAUCAAACCUCCACUUCUGCAACCAGGUAGGGAAGGUAGAUUUCUCUCCAUUUUAAGCCCUUUGCAAAGCUCACAUUCUCUUCAGCAACAUUUCUCUCCAGCAAAUUUGCAAAGCUCGCUUCUGCAAGUAGGUAGGGAAGGGAGAGCAACCGUUUAAAGACCGCGUGGAGAUUUCUAUCCAACAAGUUUGCAAAGCUUGCUUCUGCAAGCAGGAAGGAAAGGAAGAGCAACCGUUUUAAGCUCGCUUUGAGAUUUCUAUCCAGCAAAUUUGCAAAGCUCGCUUCUGCAAGUAGGUAGGGAAGGGAGAGCAACCGUUUUAAGCCCACUUGGAGAUUUCUAUCCAGCAAAUUUGAAAAGCUUGCUUCUGCAAGCAGGAAAAGAAGGGAGAUUUUUCUCCAGCAACUGCUUUAAGAGCCCUUUGGAAGAGAUAUUUCUUAUAUAUCCGAAGGUUAUCCAAAGGCAUUCCGAGGCAUGGACACCAAUGCUUCAAAUUGGAAGAUUAAAUUUGAAGCACCAAACUACCUCAGAAACCCCUUUGUAUCUAUUUUGAAUAAUGAAUUUAUUACGAUUAAUGACGUUUUCCGACGAUUUGCCCAUGCCUAGUCCAGACUGUAAUAAUUUUGCACAGAAAGAUUUUUUUCCUAUAAAGGAGAUGUGUGUACCAUUCAAAAAUACUGUCUCCUUUGCAAAACCACCAUGUGUGAAUUCUGCACAGGGUAACACCCCAAACAACAUUUUAUGCACUGAAAAUAAUUAUUCUUGGCAUAAUCCCCCCUUCCCCAGAAAGUACUCUUUUCUAUAUAACACAAGAACAUGCAUUUUUUGUGUGGAGAAAGUUUCUAACUUCACAUUUCCUUUCUUGGAUAAUUGCAAUAUUUUUUCUGAUGAGAAAAUGUUUGAAUUAACAAUUGGGUGAAGAGAGAGAUAAGAAAUCUGCUUGCGUUUACAUUAAGAUAUUCACGUGCACAUAUGAGGUCCAGUGCAUAAUUAAGUGAAUCGUUUAAAAAAAAAAAACUUCCACUAGAUGUCCCCCAUUGUGAUGUCUCAUGGGCCUUGUAGUCCCGUUCCUAGUGCUAUUGUGGCAGAUGAGGAGGAAAAUUUGGGAUUUCCACCGGUUCAGCUUGAAUCGGAGCCUUGCCACCUGGAGGAUGUUUGUCCUCAGGAAGUUAACCAAACAAGCCUUGGGCAGAAUUCUCCCCCGUUUUCCCGAAAGGACAAUUAUAAUAGAGAUAGAGGAGCCAGGGAGGCUAAUCGCUGGAGCCUCAGAAUCGCUGCCAGACAAUUAGCUGAUUAGGUCUGCUUCCCUUGGGAAAUUCUAAGGAGUCAUACAUCUGGACAGAGUUGGGUUUCAUUUCUUGUUCUCCAGGGAAAGUGUUCUGUUGGUGGGAAAACAAGACCCUAUAUAGGGGUUUUGCCGCAAGGGGAACCUUGCGGAGUCAAUUGUUCAGCUUGAGGAGAGAGAUCGUGUGUGGACUUCGUACCCCAGUUCCUUGUUUUCCGGAUCGAGUUUCCAGCCUUGCCUUGUUUCACGGACUUCUAUGGACUUAGUUCAUGUUUCAUGUUUGCCUCGUUUCAAGUUUGAUCUAGCCAAGAUUCAAGCCUAUUUUCCAGCCUUGUUGUCAAGCUACCUUGGACUCUAAAGACCCUGUCAUUCCCCACACCAUUGCUUGGCAAGGUGUGUGUUUCGUUCAAGUGGAUUAUAACUUUGGACUUUAAUAUCUUAUAUUGGACAAUAUAUUUCUGGACUAUAUUUGACCUCAUCUGAAAGGUCUGCUUCUGAACUAUAUUCUUUACUUGUUUUUAUUGACUUUAUAUAUUUCUUUAAUAAAGAUAUUAGAUAGAUUCUGGUCUCUGCGCAUGGUUAUUGGUGCUCUGCAGCCUGGGUCCUGACAGUUUGACUCCGCCACCUUAAGCACCAAUUAACCAAGGCCAGAAUGUCUACAGGAACCGGAGCGGAGGCUCAACCGGCCAGUUACACCAUUUCCCAAG